ACGAUAACGGCGUCGAGCGGCGGACGGGUGAGUAAUGCCUAGGAAAUUGCCCUGAUGUGGGGGAUAACCAUUGGAAACGAUGGCUAAUACCGCAUGAUGCCUACGGGCCAAAGAGGGGGACCUUCGGGCCUCUCGCGUCAGGAUAUGCCUAGGUGGGAUUAGCUAGUUGGUGAGGUAAGGGCUCACCAAGGCGACGAUCCCUAGCUGGUC
RNAcentral lists this ribosomal RNA (210 nucleotides) under Vibrio parahaemolyticus. RNAcentral describes it as "partial 16S ribosomal RNA". It matches the Rfam family "Bacterial small subunit ribosomal RNA", at positions 79 to 292 of the family's 1533-position model. The record is from RNAcentral. Lineage: Bacteria; Pseudomonadati; Pseudomonadota; Gammaproteobacteria; Vibrionales; Vibrionaceae.